Molecule: ribosomal RNA, 429 nt
Filed under: Actinomycetes bacterium
Lineage: Bacteria; Bacillati; Actinomycetota; Actinomycetes
Description: Actinobacteria bacterium partial 16S ribosomal RNA
Rfam family: Bacterial small subunit ribosomal RNA
Source: RNAcentral
UAGGGAAUCUUCCGCAAUGGGCGAAAGCCUGACGGAGCAACGCCGCGUGAGUGAUGAAGGUCUUCGGAUCGUAAAACUCUGUUAUUAGGGAAGAACAAAUGUGUAAGUAACUAUGCACGUCUUGACGGUACCUAAUCAGAAAGCCACGGCUAACUACGUGCCAGCAGCCGCGGUAAUACGUAGGUGGCAAGCGUUAUCCGGAAUUAUUGGGCGUAAAGCGCGCGUAGGCGGUUUUUUAAGUCUGAUGUGAAAGCCCACGGCUCAACCGUGGAGGGUCAUUGGAAACUGGAAAACUUGAGUGCAGAAGAGGAAAGUGGAAUUCCGUGUGUAGCGGUGAAAUGCGCAGAGAUAUGGGGGAAAACCAGUGGCGAAGGAGACUUUCUGGUCUGUAACUGACGCUGAUGUGCGAAAGCGUGGGGAUCAAACAGG